RNAcentral lists this ribosomal RNA (333 nucleotides) under uncultured Clostridium sp. RNAcentral's name for it is "bacterial SSU rRNA". It matches the Rfam family "Bacterial small subunit ribosomal RNA", at positions 353 to 702 of the family's 1533-position model. Lineage: Bacteria; Bacillati; Bacillota; Clostridia; Eubacteriales; Clostridiaceae. The record is from RNAcentral.
GGAUGGGAUAUUGGGGCAAUGGGGGGAAACCCUGACCCAGCAACGCCGCGUGAGGGAUGACGGUUUUCGGAUUGUAAACCUCUGUCCUCUGUGAAGAUAGUGACGGUAGCAGAGGAGGAAGCUCCGGCUAACUAUGUGCCAGCAGCCGCGGUAAUACGUAGGGAGCGAGCGUUGUCCGGAUUUACUGGGUGUAAAGGGUGCGUAGGCGGAUUGGCAAGUCAGAAGUGAAAUCCAUGGGCUUAACCCAUGAACUGCUUUUGAAACUGUUAGUCUUGAGUGAAGUAGAGGUAGGCGGAAUUCCCGGUGUAGCGGUGAAAUGCGUAGAGAUCGGGA